UGCUAGGAAGCUAAACAGGGU
This 21-nucleotide non-coding RNA is filed under the name Rattus norvegicus (Norway rat). The record is from RNAcentral. Lineage: Eukaryota; Metazoa; Chordata; Mammalia; Rodentia; Muridae.